RNAcentral lists this ribosomal RNA (170 nucleotides) under Acetobacter nitrogenifigens. Its description in RNAcentral is "partial 16S ribosomal RNA". It matches the Rfam family "Bacterial small subunit ribosomal RNA", at positions 338 to 525 of the family's 1533-position model. Lineage: Bacteria; Pseudomonadati; Pseudomonadota; Alphaproteobacteria; Acetobacterales; Acetobacteraceae. The record is from RNAcentral.
CCUACGGGAGGCAGCAGUGGGGAAUAUUGGACAAUGGGGGCAACCCUGAUCCAGCAAUGCCGCGUGUGUGAAGAAGGUUUUCGGAUUGUAAAGCACUUUCGGCGGGGACGAUGAUGACGGUACCCGCAGAAGAAGCCCCGGCUAACUUCGUGCCAGCAGCCGCGGUAAUA